This 1111-nucleotide long non-coding RNA is filed under the name Sus scrofa (pig). RNAcentral describes it as "lncRNA (ENSSSCG00035077219.1)". The record is from RNAcentral. Lineage: Eukaryota; Metazoa; Chordata; Mammalia; Artiodactyla; Suidae.
CACCAGUGUGGGCCAGGCUGACAUGGGCAUUUACUGCUGUAUGGCACGAAAUGUGGCCAAUGCCUGCCACAGCCAGGAUGCUCAGCUGACCUUGAAGGUGGGAUCCCCACAGCUGCUGCAGGAACUCGAGAUCCUGUCUGGGCCUCAGAACCUGACUCUCAAGCACACUGAUGCUGGCAGGGAUCUCAGCCAAGGAUGAGGCCAUCUACCAAUGUGUGGCAGAGAACAGUGCAGGCUCCAACCAGGCUAGUGCCCGCCUGGCUGUGACAGGAGACCUUGAGCCACCCCCUGCCUCCAAGGGUCUGCAGGCAGUGGCUCUCUCCCCUUCUGCCAUCCAAGUGUCCUGAGAACAUCAUCAGCUAUGUGCUGCACCUCCAGCCUGUGGGAGACAGGGUCCCAUGAGUGCCGGGCAGUGCCUCAGACUGUCUUGGACAGAGCAAGGGACCACAGAGGCCAGGCUCCAAGUGGACGGAAGCUGGGGGAGAAGACUGAACUCAUCACCCAGGUGAGGGGGAUUAAAGGGAGGGGAAACUGGUGUGCUUGAGGCCCUGGGUCUGGGUCUGACCAUCUCCUUCCCGCUCAGGUGAUCAGCCUAAGGGCUCCCUCCCAGAUGCCACUAACUCCAGCCCUACCAAAGAAUGUACCUCACCUUUGAGUCAGAAAAGGUCCCUCAGCCCUUCUCUGGGGAGGUGCAGGACCGACCACAGGGAGAGAGAAGAGGGUGUGAUUUCUCUAUUUCUCUCUUCUCCUCAAGAAAUGGGGGGUAUCUGUGUCUUCCCCAACACACCAAAUAACCUCAAACUAAACCAGGCUCAGGUGGGAGUCCUCCCCAACUCGUUAGUCCUGCCUCCUGACCCCACUGAAUCUAUCCUCUUGAUCUAAAUAUGAACUAACCAAAGAUACCUAGCUAUAAGGGUUCCUCCCAAGAGGGGAGGCAGGGCAAGGGACUCUGUCAGUACCUCCAUGGACCAACUCCAGCCCCUAGCCUUGCUCAUGCCCAAGCUGGGGUCUGACCCCAGGAAAGGCACCCUGCAUUCCUGGUGGACUGAAUGGGCAGGUAGACAAAGGGGCUGCUCAGUAUCUUGCCCCCCUUGUCCCAACACCAGAAGAG